This 455-nucleotide ribosomal RNA is filed under the name uncultured bacterium. RNAcentral's name for it is "bacterial SSU rRNA". It matches the Rfam family "Bacterial small subunit ribosomal RNA", at positions 340 to 786 of the family's 1533-position model. The record is from RNAcentral.
UACGGGAGGCAGCAGUGGGGAAUAUUGCACAAUGGGCGCAAGCCUGAUGCAGCCAUGCCGCGUGUAUGAAGAAGGCCUUCGGGUUGUAAAGUACUUUCAGUCGUGAGGAAGGUGUUAAGGUUAAUAACCUUAGCAAUUGACGUUAGCGACAGAAGAAGCACCGGCUAACUCCGUGCCAGCAGCCGCGGUAAUACGGAGGGUGCGAGCGUUAAUCGGAAUUACUGGGCGUAAAGGGCACGCAGGCGGUUAAUUAAGUUGGAUGUGAAAUCCCCGGGCUUAACCUGGGAAUGGCAUUCAAGACUGGUUAGCUAGAGUCUUGUAGAGGGGGUAGAAUUCCAUGUGUAGCGGUGAAAUGCGUAGAGAUGUGGAGGAAUACCGGUGGCGAAGGCGGCCCCUGGGACAAAGACUGACGCUCAUGUGCGAAAGCGUGGGGAGCAAACAGGGAUUUAGAUACC